CAGAGAACUUGCCCUUCGGGGUAGAUCUCCCACCCUGUGUUUAUGUUACCUUUGUUGCUUUGACGGGCCCGUCCCUCGGGACCGCCGGCUCCGGCUGGCCCGUGCCCGUCAGAGGACCCCAAAACUCUUGUUUAAACGUCGUCUGAGUACUAUAUAAUAGUUA
RNAcentral lists this unclassified non-coding RNA (163 nucleotides) under uncultured Flagellospora. Its description in RNAcentral is "sequence contains ITS1". The record is from RNAcentral. Lineage: Eukaryota; Fungi; Ascomycota.